UCUACGAAGGAAAGAGAAAGAAGAAAAUGAAUAGCCCUGGAGCAAACACUAAGCCAGGAGCUAUGGUGGGGGUAGUAAUCUGGAUACUCCCGGCUGCAGUCUUACCAGGACUGAUAAGAAGUGAAGAGACAGCAAGGGAUGGGGCAAGAGGGGGGACAAGAACCCCGGACAAGGAAUCCCGGUGCUGGGGCACGCAUGCCCAAAAGAGACAGUAAAGAGAUUUCCAUAGAAACAUCUUGACCCUGGAUGCCCAUAGAAAAUGGUGGGACAGCAUGGGACCACAGUCAUCCCACGGCAUUCCGGGGGGAUUAGUUCCAGAACUCCCCAAGGAUACUAAAAUCUGCAGAUGCCCCAGUCCCUGAUAGAAAAUGGUGUCGUAUUUGUAUAUAACCUUUACAUAUCCUCCAGUAUACAUGCAUCAUCUCCAGGUUACUUAUAAUACCAAACCCAGUGUUAAUACUA
Long non-coding RNA from Sapajus apella (tufted capuchin), 462 nucleotides. RefSeq lists it as uncharacterized. Lineage: Eukaryota; Metazoa; Chordata; Mammalia; Primates; Cebidae. The transcript has 2 exons. The record is from RefSeq and is a predicted model, not a curated record.